Molecule: long non-coding RNA, 2717 nt
Filed under: Nicotiana tabacum (common tobacco)
Lineage: Eukaryota; Viridiplantae; Streptophyta; Magnoliopsida; Solanales; Solanaceae
Description: long non-coding RNA (NTAB_LNC016210)
Source: RNAcentral
UGACCUUCUUGCAUCAAUACAGCUCCAAUGCCUACAUUACAGGCAUCAGUUUUGUCACACCUCCUUUUUCCCGAAGGUAUAGGGAGUUUUUCCAAUUAAAGUGACAUAAAUCGAAAUGGAAUUAUUUAUUCAUUCAGAGUCGCCACUUGGAAUAAUUUACGGUGUCCCAAGUUACCGGUUCAUUUUAGAAUCCCAAAUCGAGAAAAUUUGACUCUAUUUUUUGGUCUGCGAAUACAGAAGACUGGGUAAGGAAUUCUGUUAAUCCGGGAGAAGGUGUGAGGCACUCCCGGAUUCUGUGAUUUUAGCACGGUCGUUUAACUAUUAAUAAUUGGUCUAAUUAUCUGAUUUAGACAUAUUUAAAAUCUAUUGUGCAUUUUUAUCUUCUAACCGCUUUUAAUUAUUUAUGAAAUUAUUUUUGGAACAAGUCACGAUGUCGUACACUUGCCGUUUUGAUACACAUUGCAAACCGCGCCACAUGAAAUGCACCCGCGAUUUACGACAUAUUUAUUUUUAUUAUUAUUCGAAAUUAUGAUCGGGUCACAUGAAAUACAUACCCGAAUCGGGGAUUAUGUGUCAUGACUAUGCCACGGGAACCGUACCUAUAAUCACAAUUAUUUAAUAUUAAUUUCGACUAAAGAAAGCUACGAUGUUUGAAGUAAUCCUAUACAUUGUUUGAGAUGAUUGUAAACAGUUGUAGAUCAUGGAAUUCGUUUGUUGCUUUAACUUGACAAAGAAUUAUAAAGUUCUGCCUUCCAUUUUAAAAGGAAACGAAGGUUAUUAAUAACCAAGUUUCAGACAUACUCAUCAUCUGGGAUUAAGUUUCAUAUGAUGCCCAAUAUAAUAAAAGGGAAAUCAAUUCAAAAAGGGUUCAACUACAUGAAUUUUCUAGACCCCAUGCUCAUUAAUUCCUAACAUAUUUUCGUGUAUUUGGCCAAACCCAAUUCCUAAAGCAUGCGUAAAAUAUUUAAUUAUCUAAUGGGCUGGCCAACCCAAACCCACAACCCGAGUCAUUAAGACAAAAUCAAAUAAACAUACAAAGACCAAAUAGCUAGAACAAAGAAACGAGAAAAUGACAGUAGACAAAUAUAACAAGAUAAUAUGACGAGAGCCAUCAGAUUUCCGUUUGAACCCAACUGCCACCCACUUAUUCUAAAUGACUCAAAACAUUCCAAGGAUUUCAAGCUUAGUCACUUAGCACGUACGGUACUACUUUAUCAAUAAGAAACCACUUCCUCAACAAGAAAACCAAUAUAUUUACGUGCCAUGGAAAGAUAAUCUAUAUGAUCUAACUUAAACACAUUAAGAGCGCACCUCAAUACAUGUUUAAAAGGAAGAACCUGCACAUAACUAUCCCAGGAAUUAGACUUACGAAAUUGGGACAAACAUAUGAACUAUCAAACCAAUAUUCAGAGACACACAUAAUAAGAAAGCUAAUGGAUUGCCAUUUCAGUUGAAACUUACUAGAAAACUCAUGAACAUCACAAGGGAAUCCCUCAAAAAGAAAGUAUACAGCCUGCUUGAUUCAUGAAGCUAUUUCACCACUAUAUCUAGCAUAUGACCUCAAUUAAAGCAGCAAGCAGUCACUUGAAAUUUUAGGAUUUGAAUUGCGCAAUAUUUCAUUAUUGUUACGCCUUUAGGAGAGAAACUGCAUAUACCGAGCAAGAGUCCAAAUAUUUUCGUACAAAACUCAAAGAGUGAAGCCGAAUAAUCAAGAACUAUCAACAAGACGCAGUUCCUCUAUAAACACUCACAAGUUCAUCAAAACCUCAGUCCUUUAUAUCGAAAACAGACAUAUCUGAGUUUAAACGAUGUCUAAAUGAACUAAGGAAGCUAAAUGCUCUCAUAUAUGACAUGAAAAUUCAAUCAGACCAGCUCUUAAAAUUCGAUUUCAAUUUGCCCUAGGAGAAACAAACAAUCAAUUUAAAUAAUGUUUCACCGAUCAUUUAAACCGUCAAAAAUAGACGUCGAUCUAAUAUUUAAUACACGGUCAUCAAUCUGACAUCAAAAGAUCAAACAAGCUGAUUGCGGCAAAUGAGAUCAAAUUUCACAAAAAAUAUUAAAGUGACUAAACCGAUCAGUAGCAGAUAAAGAACAUUAGGGAAGAACCAACAAAGACACUCCAACAUACUUAUGAAAUCAUAGAGGGGGCAUUCGACUGAUUCAUGACUCACUUGCUAAUUAUACAACUAACCAACUCAAGUCGAACAUAUCGAAAACUAAGCAUUUAGGUCGGGAACAAUUCGAUAGAACACUAAGACGAUUUUCAUGAAUGAAAAAGAAGCAUACUCGAGUCAAUUCCUAACACCCAAGUCUCGUCAUAUUUAAAUCCACACAAAAAAAAAACAGAAUGAGAAAGCAACUAUUUUCAAGCUUCAUGUAUAUAACCAUGGAAGAACAGAUGCUCAGCUACAUACCUGAUGAUAGCAAAAAUAUACAAAGAAAAUAAAUCUCUGAAUGUUGAGGAAAAUAUCAGCACGAACAGCAGAAACCAAACCAAAACAGCUUCAAAAGGCCACUUCCAAAAUCCAAAGAGAACCCAGAAAAACUACUGAAAUAGUAUGAAUUCGAAUCUCUUUUUUUUUUUUAAACUGUUUUUUUUUUAGUUUUUUAAGAUAUUUUCUGAACCAAAAUGAGAAUGGGGAAUUUUUUUUUUUUUGAAAGAAAAGUGGAGAGUCAGAAGAUCCUUCUUUCUUUCCAAAAAUGCAUAGCAUCCAAAA